GAUGAACGCUGGCGGCGUGCCUAAUACAUGCAAGUCGAGCGAACAGACGAUGAGCUUGCUCCUCUGACGUUAGCGGCGGACGGGUGAGUAACACGUGGAUAACCUACCUAUAAUACUGGGAUAACUUCGGGAAACCGGAGCUAAUACCGGAUAAUAUAUUGAACCGCAUGGUUCAAUAGUGAAAGACGGUUUUGCUGUCACUUAUAGAUGGAUCCGCGCCGCAUUAGCUAGUUGGUAAGGUAACGGCUUACCAAGGCGACGAUGCGUAGCCGACCUGAGAGGGUGAUCGGCCACACUGGAACUGAGACACGGUCCAGACUCCUACGGGAGGCAGCAGUAGGGAAUCUUCCGCAAUGGGCGAAAGCCUGACGGAGCAACGCCGCGUGAGUGAUGAAGGUCUUCGGAUCGUAAAACUCUGUUAUUAGGGAAGAACAAAUGUGUAAGUAACUAUGCACGUCUUGACGGUACCUAAUCAGAAAGCCACGGCUAACUACGUG
Molecule: ribosomal RNA, 497 nt
Filed under: uncultured bacterium
Lineage: Bacteria
Description: partial 16S ribosomal RNA
Rfam family: Bacterial small subunit ribosomal RNA
Source: RNAcentral